CCUACGGGAGGCAGCAGUGGGGAAUAUUGCACAAUGGGGGAAACCCUGAUGCAGCGACACCGCGUGAGUGAAGAAGUAAUUCGUUAUGUAAAGCUCUAUCAGCAGGGAAGAAAAUGACGGUACCUGAGUAAGAAGCCCCGGCUAACUACGUGCCAGCAGCCGCGGUAAUACGUAGGGGGCAAGCGUUAUCCGGAUUUACUGGGUGUAACGGGAGCGUAGACGGCAGUGCAAGUCUGGAGUGAAAGGCGGGGGCUCAACCCCCGGACUGCUCUGGAAACUGUACGGCUGGAGUGCAGGAGAGGUAAGUGGAAUUCCUAGUGUAGCGGUGAAAUGCGUAGAUAUUAGGAGGAACACCAGUGGCGAAGGCGGCUUACUGGACUGUAACUGACGUUGAGGCUCGAAAGCGUGGGGAGCAAACAGGAUUAGAUACCCCAGUAGUC
Molecule: ribosomal RNA, 440 nt
Filed under: uncultured bacterium
Lineage: Bacteria
Description: partial 16S ribosomal RNA
Rfam family: Bacterial small subunit ribosomal RNA
Source: RNAcentral